UAACUAUGUAUUAGGUAUCAGCGAUGUG
This 28-nucleotide small RNA is filed under the name Bombyx mori (domestic silkworm). RNAcentral's name for it is "ovarian small RNA-18972". The record is from RNAcentral. Lineage: Eukaryota; Metazoa; Arthropoda; Insecta; Lepidoptera; Bombycidae.